Molecule: long non-coding RNA, 913 nt
Organism: Mugil cephalus (flathead mullet)
Lineage: Eukaryota; Metazoa; Chordata; Actinopteri; Mugiliformes; Mugilidae
Exons: 3
Source: RefSeq, a predicted model, not a curated record
CAGCCUCUCAUCGAGUCCGUAUCCAGUGGGUAUAAUGCAGCAGUGGUACUAUGCGGCGCCUCCACAGAGCCGAUGACAGCUCUGACUGACUGCAGAAUCAUCAGACAGGUCGAGCCCCGAACCAAAAUACACGCAACAGUGGCAGAUUUGAUGUUUUUGCACUAUUAAUCUUCCUCUUGACUCUAUCUCAGGUCUUGGCAAAUCUUUUUAGUUGUAUAGCGUCACAAGUGAAAGAGGAGUCAUUCAUUUCUGCCUCGUUCCUUCAGGUUUGUCCGAUUGAUGACACAGAUGUGUUAUACACACAUUGCCAUAUAGAAUAAAGUCUAAUGUUUUUUAAUGUCAGUUUUAUCCAGAUGGCGGUGCGGUGGACCUGCUGAGCCCCAAACAGACUCUACAACCUGUAACACAUCCAGUCCUCGGAAGGUGUGUCACAAUGAAGUGUAUUAUUUAUGUCACUAUUAAAACCCAUGUAUACGUUAAAGUGGAUGAAAUGUAAAAAUAAAGUGAAGAAUUAGUCCUUGUUGUUUUGCUCAGUCUUGUAGGAGGUCUUUGUGAGGUGUGUGUAUGCUCAGCAGACGAAGCCUACACUCUGUAUGAAACAUGCAGGGAGGCUCUGAAGACGAAUGCGGGGCCAAUUUCCAGCCGAUGCAGCUCCCUGUUUUCAGUGGCCGUUGAGUGGAAACUCCAUCCAGAGGAGGUGGAGUCAGAUGUCUGCCGCAGCAGACUGCAGCUGUUCAGCCUGGCAGGAGGAGCCAGCAGGACUGACCUCAGAGGUGUCAGCCCACUGGUGAAGGUUUUGGACCAAAUCCCAAAUCCUACCGCCACACUCAGCAUCAACCUUCUCCCUUUCCUUCUUAAUGAGGCCUUAACAGGAAAUAGCAGGACAGUCCUCAUCUACUGCAUCAGCCCUCAA